Molecule: ribosomal RNA, 425 nt
Filed under: uncultured bacterium
Lineage: Bacteria
Description: partial 16S ribosomal RNA
Rfam family: Bacterial small subunit ribosomal RNA
Source: RNAcentral
UUGGGGAAUCUUGCGCAAUGGGCGAAAGCCUGACGCAGCCAUGCCGCGUGAAUGAUGAAGGUCUUAGGAUUGUAAAAUUCUUUCACCGGGGACGAUAAUGACGGUACCCGGAGAAGAAGCCCCGGCUAACUUCGUGCCAGCAGCCGCGGUAAUACGAAGGGGGCUAGCGUUGCUCGGAAUUACUGGGCGUAAAGGGCGCGUAGGCGGACAGUUUAGUCAGAGGUGAAAGCCCAGGGCUCAACCUUGGAAUUGCCUUUGAUACUGGCUGUCUUGAGUACGGGAGAGGUGAGUGGAACUCCGAGUGUAGAGGUGAAAUUCGUAGAUAUUCGGAAGAACACCAGUGGCGAAGGCGACUCACUGGCCCGUUACUGACGCUGAGGCGCGAAAGCGUGGGGAGCAAACAGGAUUAGAUACCCUAGUAGUCC